AAUAUAUAUAAUGCUUUCAUCCUUGUUACAGCAAAACAACAAAAUACAGUCACACCAAACAAUCCAAAACAAGGUUCGUUCUUUUUCCCAUACUAUAAACCUUGCAUUUUCUUACCAUCUGCACUAAGAUAAAAACUGGACUUAGAACUCAAAUUCCUAGACCACAACAAGAACUUUGGCAUAAUCUUGCUAUAGAGAGACUUCCUUGAACAAAUAAAAGAAAUGAAAGAGAAAGAAGAAGCAAAGAAUCGAAUCUGCACCAAAACCUUCUAUAAGAUUCAAUUUUUCUUCAAAAUUCUAUCUUCCUUUGAGAACAAACCUUUCUUCUUCCUUUGGACUGGGUUUGGAUCGUCGGAAAGAGAGAUUUCCGUCCCCUUUGAUGGUGGCCGGAGAGAAGGAGGUCUU
This 405-nucleotide long non-coding RNA is filed under the name Salvia miltiorrhiza (redroot sage). RNAcentral's name for it is "long non-coding RNA (SMIL_LNC013704)". The record is from RNAcentral. Lineage: Eukaryota; Viridiplantae; Streptophyta; Magnoliopsida; Lamiales; Lamiaceae.